AACGAACGCUGGCGGCAUGCCUAACACAUGCAAGUCGAACGAGACCUUCGGGUCUAGUGGCGCACGGGUGCGUAACGCGUGGGAACCUGCCCUUAGGUUCGGAAUAACUCCCCGAAAGGGGUGCUAAUACCGGAUAAUGUCUUCGGACCAAAGAUUUAUCGCCUUUGGAUGGGCCCGCGUUUGAUUAGCUAGUUGGUAGGGUAAAAGCCUACCAAGGCGACGAUCCAUAGCUGGUAUGAGAGGAUGAUCAGCCACACUGGGACUGAGACACGGCGCAGAAUACUACGGGAGGGAGCAGUGGGGAAUAUUGGACAAUGGGCGAAAGCCUGAUACAGCAAUGCCGCGUGAGUGAUGAAGGCCUUAGGGUUGUAAAGCUCUUUUAAACGGGAUGAUAAUGACAGUACCGGGAGAAUAAGCUCCGGCUAACUCCGUG
Molecule: ribosomal RNA, 433 nt
Filed under: uncultured bacterium
Lineage: Bacteria
Description: partial 16S ribosomal RNA
Rfam family: Bacterial small subunit ribosomal RNA
Source: RNAcentral